CUCGUAGGCGGACUGUCACGUCUGCUGUGAAAAGCUGGGGCUUAACCCUGGCCUUGCAGUGGAUACGGGCAGACUAGAGGUAGGUAGGGGAGAAUGGAAUUCCCGGUGUAGCGGUGAAAUGCGCAGAUAUCGGGAGGAACACCGGUGGCGAAGGCGGUUCUCUGGGCCUUACCUGACGCUGAGGAGCGAAAGCGUGGGGAGCGAACAGGAUUAGAUACCCUGGUAGUCCACGCUGUAAACGUUGGGCGCUAGGUGUGGGGUCCUUCCACGGAUUCCGUGCCGCAGCUAACGCAUUAAGCGCCCCGCCUGGGGAGUACGGCCGCAAGGCUAAA
Molecule: ribosomal RNA, 332 nt
Filed under: uncultured Actinoallomurus sp.
Lineage: Bacteria; Bacillati; Actinomycetota; Actinomycetes; Streptosporangiales; Thermomonosporaceae
Description: bacterial SSU rRNA
Rfam family: Bacterial small subunit ribosomal RNA
Source: RNAcentral